UACGUAGGGGGCUAGCGUUAUCCGGAAUUACUGGGCGUAAAGGGUGCGUAGGCGGUCUUUCAAGCCAGAAGUGAAAGGCUACGGCUCAACCGUAGUAAGCUUUUGGAACUGUGAGACUUGAGUGCAGGAGAGGAGAGUGGAAUUCCUAGUGUAGCGGUGAAAUGCGUAGGUAUUAGGAGGAACACCAGUAGCGAAGGCGGCUCUCUGGACUGUAACUGACGCUGAGGCACGAAAGCGUGGGGAGCAAACAGGAUUAGAUACCCUGGUAGUCCACGCCGUAAACGAUGAGUACUAGGUGUCGGGGGUUACCCCCUCGUGCGCAGCUACGCAUAAGUACUCCGCCUGGAAGUACGCUCGCAAGAGUGAAACUACAAAAAUUAA
RNAcentral lists this ribosomal RNA (381 nucleotides) under uncultured sludge bacterium. Its description in RNAcentral is "bacterial SSU rRNA". It matches the Rfam family "Bacterial small subunit ribosomal RNA", at positions 524 to 913 of the family's 1533-position model. The record is from RNAcentral.